AUGUUUGCACAGAAACUCCUGAACAU
Molecule: non-coding RNA, 26 nt
Filed under: Cricetulus griseus (Chinese hamster)
Lineage: Eukaryota; Metazoa; Chordata; Mammalia; Rodentia; Cricetidae
Source: RNAcentral